This 314-nucleotide unclassified non-coding RNA is filed under the name plant metagenome. RNAcentral describes it as "partial contains 5.8S ribosomal RNA, internal transcribed spacer 2, and large subunit ribosomal RNA". The stretch from base 1 to 105 matches the Rfam family "5.8S ribosomal RNA", at positions 50 to 154 of the family's 154-position model. The record is from RNAcentral.
GAAAUGCGAUAAUUAAUGUGAAUUGCAGAAUUCAGUGAAUCAUCGAGUCUUUGAACGCACAUUGCGCCCCCUGGUAUUCCGGGGGGCAUGCCUGUCCGAGCGUCAUUGCUGCCCUCAAGCACGGCUUGUGUGUUGGGCUUCCGUCCCUGGCAACGGGGACGGGCCCAAAAGGCAGUGGCGGCACCAUGUCUGGUCCUCGAGCGUAUGGGGCUUUGUCACCCGCUCCCGUAAGUCCAGCUGGCAGCUAGCCUCGCAACCAAUCUUUUUAACCAGGUUGACCUCGGAUCAGGUAGGGAUACCCGCUGAACUUAAGC